UCCCAUAGCUCAGUCGGGUAGAGCAUGAGACUCUUAAACUCAGGGUUUGGGGUUCAAGCCCCACGUUGGGCAAAA
Molecule: transfer RNA, 75 nt
Filed under: Podarcis lilfordi (Lilford's wall lizard)
Lineage: Eukaryota; Metazoa; Chordata; Lepidosauria; Squamata; Lacertidae
Description: tRNA.Lys
Rfam family: tRNA (bases 6-63)
About the family: Transfer RNA (tRNA) molecules are approximately 80 nucleotides in length. Their secondary structure includes four short double-helical elements and three loops (D, anti-codon, and T loops).
Source: RNAcentral